GACGAACGCUGGCGGCGUGCUUAACACAUGCAAGUCGAACGGUGAAGCUCCAGCUUGCUGGAGUGGAUCAGUGGCGAACGGGUGAGUAACACGUGAGCAACCUGCCCCUGACUCUGGAAUAAGCGCUGGAAACGGCGUCUAAUACUGGAUACGAGAAGGGUCCGCAUGGGCACUUUCUGGAAAGUUUUUCGGUUGGGGAUGGGCUCGCGGCCUAUCAGCUUGUUGGUGAGGUAAUGGCUCACCAAGGCGACGACGGGUAGCCGGCCUGAGAGGGCGACCGGCCACACUGGGACUGAGACACGGCCCAGACUCCUACGGGAGGCAGCAGUGGGGAAUAUUGCACAAUGGGCGAAAGCCGGAUGCAGCGACGCCGCGUGAGGGAUGACGGCCUUCGGGUGGUAAACCUCUUUCAGCAGGGAAGAAGCGAAAGGGACGGUACCUGCAGAAGAAGCACCGGCGAACUACGU
Molecule: ribosomal RNA, 467 nt
Filed under: uncultured bacterium
Lineage: Bacteria
Description: partial 16S ribosomal RNA
Rfam family: Bacterial small subunit ribosomal RNA
Source: RNAcentral